RNAcentral lists this ribosomal RNA (136 nucleotides) under Barnesiella viscericola. Its description in RNAcentral is "partial 23S ribosomal RNA". It matches the Rfam family "Bacterial large subunit ribosomal RNA", at positions 2775 to 2925 of the family's 2925-position model. The record is from RNAcentral. Lineage: Bacteria; Pseudomonadati; Bacteroidota; Bacteroidia; Bacteroidales; Barnesiellaceae.
AAGCAUCUAAGUGCGAAGCCCGCCCCAAGAUAAGAUUUCCAUGAGGGACGUCAGAGACGAUGACGUAGAUAGGUCGCAGGUGUAUAGGCAGCAAUGUCACAGCCGAGCGAAACUAAUCUCCCGAAACUUUCCGUAA